This 402-nucleotide ribosomal RNA is filed under the name uncultured Phenylobacterium sp. RNAcentral describes it as "bacterial SSU rRNA". It matches the Rfam family "Bacterial small subunit ribosomal RNA", at positions 355 to 774 of the family's 1533-position model. Lineage: Bacteria; Pseudomonadati; Pseudomonadota; Alphaproteobacteria; Caulobacterales; Caulobacteraceae. The record is from RNAcentral.
UGGGGAAUCUUGCGCAAUGGGCGAAAGCCUGACGCAGCCAUGCCGCGUGAAUGAUGAAGGUCUUAGGAUUGUAAAAUUCUUUCACCGGGGACGAUAAUGACGGUACCCGGAGAAGAAGCCCCGGCUAACUUCGUGCCAGCAGCCGCGGUAAUACGAAGGGGGCUAGCGUUGCUCGGAAUUACUGGGCGUAAAGGGCGCGUAGGCGGAUAGUUUAGUCAGAGGUAAAAGCCCAGGGCUCAACCUUGGAACUGCCUUUGAUACUGGCUAUCUUGAGUUCGGGAGAGGUGAGUGGAAUGCCGAGUGUAGAGGUGAAAUUCGUAGAUAUUCGGCGGAACACCAGUGGCGAAGGCGACUCACUGGACCGAUACUGACGCUGAGGCGCGAAAGCGUGGGGAGCAAACA